Molecule: long non-coding RNA, 207 nt
Filed under: Monodelphis domestica (gray short-tailed opossum)
Lineage: Eukaryota; Metazoa; Chordata; Mammalia; Didelphimorphia; Didelphidae
Description: lncRNA (ENSMODG00000031738.2)
Source: RNAcentral
AUUCAUUAGUUCCUCAAGUUUCGCAAUCUGCAGUAAUUUGUCACACUUCAUCAUCAUCAUCAUCAUCAUCAAUCUGUUGCUGAGUCCUAUGAUUCUAUCUUUAGAACAUCUUAAAUUGAUGAAUAUUAAGCGGAAGGCCAGCCCAGGUCUCCCGAAUGUGGGCUACAGGAGACACAGCUGCUGCCAAGGCCUUCCACCUACAGUUUC